CCAGACUCCUACGGGAGGCAGCAGUGGGGAAUAUUGGGCAAUGGGCGCAAGCCUGACCCAGCAACGCCGCGUGAAGGAAGAAGGCUUUCGGGUUGUAAACUUCUUUUGUCAGGGACGAAGCAAGUGACGGUACCUGACGAAUAAGCCACGGCUAACUACGUGCCAGCAGCCGCGGUAAUACGGAGGAUGCGAGCGUUAUCCGGAUUUAUUGGGUUUAAAGGGUGCGCAGGCGGGCUGUUAAGCCGGCGGUAAAAAUUCAGGGCUCAACCCUGUCGAGCCGUCGGAACUGGCAGUCUUGAGUGGGCGAGAAGUAUGCGGAAUGCGUGGUGUAGCGGUGAAAUGCAUAGAUAUCACGCAGAACGCCGAUUGCGAAGGCAGCAUACCGGCGCCCAACUGACGCUGAGGCACGAAAGCGUGGGGAUCGAACAGGAUUAGAUACCCCCGUACGC
RNAcentral lists this ribosomal RNA (449 nucleotides) under uncultured bacterium. RNAcentral describes it as "bacterial SSU rRNA". It matches the Rfam family "Bacterial small subunit ribosomal RNA", at positions 331 to 795 of the family's 1533-position model. The record is from RNAcentral.